UACAGAGGGUGCAAGCGUUAAUCGGAAUUACUGGGCGUAAAGCGUGCGUAGACGGUUAUCUAAGUCGGAUGUGAAAUCCCCGGGCUCAACCUGGGAAUUGCAUUCGAGACUGAAUAGCUAGGGUGCGGAAGAGGGAAGCGGAAUUUCCGGUGUAGCAGUGAAAUGCGUAGAUAUCGGAAGGAACAUCAGUGGCGAAGGCGGCUUCCUGGUCCAGCACCGACGUUCAGGCACGAAAGCGUGGGGAGCAAACAG
This 252-nucleotide ribosomal RNA is filed under the name uncultured bacterium. RNAcentral describes it as "partial 16S ribosomal RNA". It matches the Rfam family "Bacterial small subunit ribosomal RNA", at positions 524 to 775 of the family's 1533-position model. The record is from RNAcentral.